Molecule: ribosomal RNA, 468 nt
Filed under: uncultured bacterium
Lineage: Bacteria
Description: partial 16S ribosomal RNA
Rfam family: Bacterial small subunit ribosomal RNA
Source: RNAcentral
GAUGAACGCUGGCGGCGUGCUUAACACAUGCAAGUCGAACGGAAAGGCCCAAGCUUGCUUGGGUACUCGAGUGGCGAACGGGUGAGUAACACGUGGGUGAUCUGCCCUGCACUUCGGGAUAAGCCUGGGAAACUGGGUCUAAUACUGGAUAGGACCACUUCUUGGAUGGUGUGGUGGAAAGUUUUUUCGGUGUGGGAUGAGCUCGCGGCCUAUCAGCUUGUUGGUGGGGUAAUGGCCUACCAAGGCGUCGACGGGUAGCCGGCCUGAGAGGGUGUACGGCCACAUUGGGACAUGGACACGGCCCAGGAUUCUACGGGGGGCAGGAGUGGGGAAUAUUGCACAAUGGGCGCAAGCCUGAUGCAGCGACGCCGCGUGGGGGAUGACGGCCUUCGGGUUGUAAACUCCUUUCGCUAGGGACGAAGCGUUUUUGUGACGGUACCUGGAGAAGAAGCACCGGCUAACUACGUG